RNAcentral lists this non-coding RNA (28 nucleotides) under Homo sapiens (human). Lineage: Eukaryota; Metazoa; Chordata; Mammalia; Primates; Hominidae. The record is from RNAcentral.
UGCCAAAAGCAAAGGUGAUAACCCAGAU